UACGGGAGGCAGCAGUGGGGAAUAUUGCACAAUGGGCGAAAGCCUGAUGCAGCUAUGCCGCGUGUAUGAAGAAGGCCUUAGGGUUGUAAAGUACUUUCAUCGGGGAGGAAAAAACAAAACUAAUAAUUUUAUUUCUUGACGUUACCCGAAAAAGAAGCACCGGCUAACUCCGUGCCAGCAGCCGCGGUAAUACGGAGGGUGCUAGCGUUAAUCAGAAUUACUGGGCGUAAAGAGCGCGUAGGCUGAUUAGUAAGUUAAAAGUGAAAUCCCAAAGCUUAACUUUGGAAUUGCUUUUUAAAACUGCUAGUCUAGAGAUUGAAAGAGGAUAGAGGAAUUCCUAGUGUAGAGGUGAAAUUCGUAAAUAUUAGGAGGAACACCAGUGGCGAAGGCGUCUAUCUGGUUCAAAUCUGACGCUGAGGGCGCGAGGCGUGGGGAGCAAACAGGGAUUAGAUACC
This 455-nucleotide ribosomal RNA is filed under the name uncultured bacterium. RNAcentral describes it as "bacterial SSU rRNA". It matches the Rfam family "Bacterial small subunit ribosomal RNA", at positions 340 to 786 of the family's 1533-position model. The record is from RNAcentral.